RNAcentral lists this small nuclear RNA (110 nucleotides) under Microtus ochrogaster (prairie vole). The record is from RNAcentral. Lineage: Eukaryota; Metazoa; Chordata; Mammalia; Rodentia; Cricetidae.
GCUGAGGGAGAGGUCAGUAGCACAUAGACUAAAUUGGAACAAUACAAAAAAGUUUAGCAUGGCCCCCGCAACAGCAUGGCAUGCAUAUUUGUGAAGUGUUCCAUACUUUU